Molecule: long non-coding RNA, 1424 nt
Filed under: Mus musculus (house mouse)
Lineage: Eukaryota; Metazoa; Chordata; Mammalia; Rodentia; Muridae
Description: long non-coding RNA chr6:89345139-89346563
Source: RNAcentral
AUCCGCUCAGCUGCCGCUCCACCAAGACAGGCUUAAGUCAAACCAGACCCGGAAGAGCUGGGUAAGUGGGGAGGUCCUGGGAGGCCUGAAGGGGCUGGACUAAUAGUUGCCCAAACUUUAUUCCUCCGGCCUCUGGACGGACAAGCAGGAACAGCUAGCUGAGACAGAAGGGGCCCACAGCAGCCCAAUACCCCAGGGGCUGGCAAGGACACUAACCUUAACCUAAACCUAUCUAGCCCAGCUAUGCCAGAGCAGGGGAGGGAGUCAGGUCCUGGAUGACUGCUAGAGCAGAUCAUAGCAGGCUGGCUUACACUGCUGUAUUAAGUGGGGAGCAUGCAGCCAGAGACAAGGCUGGACUCACACCACCUAGGCCAAAAUUGGCUUAGAUGUAUCUGUUUUCCUACUCCUGAAAUGGGAAUGAAUCAUGCUUCCACCUCCCCCCACGGUGACAGAGACAGAAAAGCUUGCCUGAGACAGGUGCCAGGAAACAAGCCUGUUCAGUGGGCAGGGGACCGAGAACUCUAGACCAAUGUCUUACAAGCCUCCAAGACCACAGCCAUGACUCUACUCCCCCACACCCUAGGCUUCACCCACAUCCACAUCCCAGAAAGAUCCCAUCCUCGUCACUCCUGGGUGGUAGCCUUGCAUACAGGGUGCCCUGGACAGAGACCAGGGGAGUUUCCUCCUGCCACAAUGACCAUGUAACCCCCAGCCCUAUCUUGCCUGCCACCACCCUUCCCAGACUGGGUAGACACACUAGCUCCAGGUAUGCAGGAAAAGGACAGGCCAGAGCAGAGAGCAGAGUCCAUAAGGAAAGGAUCACAGGCCAUCCAGGCUCAGGAGGCCCUGCCCCCAGCCUGCCAGCUUAAUUGACUGGGACAGGUGGUCUCAACAGCUGCAGUUGGGGGCUUGUGAGUUCAGCUGUCCAUCCACCUGCCCAGCAAUGGUCCACAUGCACAACCAGGUCCUAGGGACACAGCCCAGUAGAGGCUAACUCCAGGGAGGGACCACUGGCAGAGCGUGGAUACCAUUCCUCAGCUAGGGGAAUUGUGGGCAUCAGGGAGGUUAUAGACAUGAGUGUGUUGCAGUACUCUGCAUUGAGCCAAGCCAUGCUCAGGCCUGACAGGACCUUUGUGCACAUCAGUGUCACAGUGUCUCUGGGUACAUAUGUGAUGAUGGAGUUUAUGUUUUGAAUAUGAAAUGCCUGCCAUAGGCUCAUGUGUUUAAAUACUUCAUUCCCAGCUGCUGCCACUGUAGAGAGAGGUUGCAGAAUCUUUCAGAUGUGGGAGUCUCGUUAAAAAGUGCAUCACUUGGGGUGGACCCUGAGGUUUACAGUCUGGCUCCACUUGCCUUUCUGCUGCCAUGACCUCCCCUACUAUAAUGGACUCUAUCCCACGGCGAGCAAAAAUAAACCCCUUUCCUUU